GCACGAGUGGCCGAGUUUGGUUUAGGCGCAGGAUUGCAAACCCUGUUACGCGGUUCGAUUCCGUCUCGUGCUCCA
Molecule: transfer RNA, 75 nt
Filed under: Alteromonas mediterranea
Lineage: Bacteria; Pseudomonadati; Pseudomonadota; Gammaproteobacteria; Alteromonadales; Alteromonadaceae
Description: tRNA-Cys
Rfam family: tRNA
About the family: Transfer RNA (tRNA) molecules are approximately 80 nucleotides in length. Their secondary structure includes four short double-helical elements and three loops (D, anti-codon, and T loops). Further hydrogen bonds mediate the characteristic L-shaped molecular structure. tRNAs have two regions of fundamental functional importance: the anti-codon, which is responsible for specific mRNA codon recognition, and the 3' end, to which the tRNAs corresponding amino acid is attached (by aminoacyl-tRNA synthetases). tRNAs cope with the degeneracy of the genetic code in two manners: having more than one tRNA (with a specific anti-codon) for a particular amino acid; and 'wobble' base-pairing, i.e. permitting non-standard base-pairing at the 3rd anti-codon position.
Source: RNAcentral